UGACCCCAACCCGAUUUGAACGGAUAACCUUUCGAUCUGGAGUCGAACGCGCUACCGUUGCGCCAUAGGGCC
This 72-nucleotide transfer RNA is filed under the name Neurospora crassa. RNAcentral's name for it is "tRNA predict as a tRNA- Trp : anticodon cca". Lineage: Eukaryota; Fungi; Ascomycota; Sordariomycetes; Sordariales; Sordariaceae. The record is from RNAcentral.